Cyprinus carpio (common carp) is the source of this 985-nucleotide long non-coding RNA. RefSeq lists it as uncharacterized. The record is from RefSeq and is a predicted model, not a curated record. Lineage: Eukaryota; Metazoa; Chordata; Actinopteri; Cypriniformes; Cyprinidae.
GAUCAUAAACAUUAUCUUUAAAGCUGCUGUAAAGAGAACAGUGGGGACGUGUUUUAUAGUACUACAGCUGUUGGCGCGCCGGUAGUGUUUGUUAUUUGUUAGAUGCGCGUGUACAGUUAUCGGCUGUAGAGAUCCUGCUGAGUGCACAGGAUGACGUCUACAAAAUAGAUCAAGCUGUCUAGAGGAGUUGACUUUAAGCAUGAAUCCUCUGGGUGAUGGUUGAACACAAGCAUUAGCGAGUCUUCUGUCCGCAUGUCCCCUGCUCUCCACUCUGUCCCUGCAAGCUUGUGGCCUCUCUGCACGCUUCCUGCAGUAACACCGUCUGUUCUUAGCCAACACCAUGGCCAGUGUCUUCCUGUUUGUCCCUCUCUUGUGUCUUUAGACUUGUCUGCUAACCCUUCAGUGUCUUCAGUUGGGCUUCAGAGUCUCCUUAAUGCCCUCAUGGAGACCCAACGACCUUUGACCCAUCUCAGUCUUCAAGGCUGUCAGGUGUCAGGACCUCUGGGUGAUGUUUGUUUAGAAAGUCUUGUGUUUGUGCUCCCAGAGUCUGAAUAAACUAGACCAGGAUGCACUGCAGCAGAGCUGGAGAAGGAGAUCAGAACCCAUGCAUGUGUUUUCUCGCAACUUCAAAUGCAUGCUGAGCAUCACCGCAGCUUCACAGUAAACUCUUUCCGGCAGUAGCAUUAGUCUAAUGGACAAAUUCUUGAAAACAUUAAAUAAGGUCUAAUUGUAGCAUGGGUGCUGUCAUUAUGUAUUUUUUUAUUGUAAUUAUUUGUAUGGACACGUAUAUUUGUUUAUAUUUGACUCAAACCCAUUUUAUUCUAUUUAGUGCAAAUUCUUUAUUGCUGAUUUUUUGCAAAGUUUGAAAUGGCCAAGGGAUAUUAAUGUGUGGCAUGGUGCUUAUGGAACAAGAAACGGACCAAUAAUUAUUAAUUCAGGCAUCCUCUGUUUGUAAAAGUAUCUCCAAAAAUCGGAAGAGCAAAAA